UGGGGAAUUUUGCACAAUGGGCGCAAGCCUGAUGCAGCGACGCCGCGUGAGGGAUGAAGGCCUUCGGGUUGUAAACCUUUUUCGCUCAUGGUCAAGCCGCAGCUUUGGGUUGUGGUGAGGGUAGUGGGUAAAGAAGCGCCGGCUAACUACGUGCCAGCAGCCGCGGUAAUACGUAGGGCGCGAGCGUUGUCCGGAAUUAUUGGGCGUAAAGCGCACGUAGGCGGACUUUUAAGUCAGGGGUGAAAUCCCGGGGCUCAACCCCGGAACUGCCUUUGAUACUGGAAGUCUUGAGUAUGGUAGAGGUGAGUGGAAUUCCGAGUGUAGAGGUGAAAUUCGUAGAUAUUCGGAGGAACACCAGUGGCGAAGGCGGCUCACUGGACCAUUACUGACGCUGAGGUGCGAAAGCGUGGGGAGCAAACAGG
This 422-nucleotide ribosomal RNA is filed under the name Verrucomicrobiota bacterium. Its description in RNAcentral is "Verrucomicrobia bacterium partial 16S ribosomal RNA". It matches the Rfam family "Bacterial small subunit ribosomal RNA", at positions 355 to 776 of the family's 1533-position model. Lineage: Bacteria; Pseudomonadati; Verrucomicrobiota. The record is from RNAcentral.